AUGGCUGUGUGCGACCCCUUGCACCGGCAGUACCUCUUGCUUCCUCGGAUCCCCGAUGACCUAGCCGCUUCUGUUGUGGGCGCACAAGGGUCGUGCUACGCCGACUCCUUCCUCGUCCCUUCCGGCUACGACGACGAGGAGGAGGCAGCUACUACGGAGGAGCCAUCAUUCAGGGUGAUCUGGAUGGUGCUGCUCCAAAACAAGCCGGUGAUCGCUGUCUUCUCUUCCGGCACACGGCAAUGGCGAACCGUCCCAUCACCGACUUGGAGCGAGAUGUCACCUGGCUUCGUGUUAUCGACACUGUUUAUCUUCCUCAGGCGCCAUUACGCCCAUGGCUGUUUCUACUGGAUUUCAGGCUCCACUGAAAAAUUGCUGGUGCUCGACAUCCGCAGGAUGGAGCUGUCCGUGGCUGACCACCCGCCCUGUGAAAGAAAUCCGGCUGAUGAUGUGACCAUCCUGGAGGCAGGUCAAGGCACAACUCUGAUGUUUGUGCUUAAGCGCAGCACAUCCCCCGUUACUUAUACUGUUUGGCGAAACAAUGGUGGGAGCUCCACCUCCACCCGGUGGCAGAUGGAGAAGACAUUCUCGCUGGAUUCUGGGUCCUUGCUCACAGGUGCAGUGGGGAGGCACUUGCUCCUAUAUCAUGGCGGAAGCUCGGUCAAGCGAGGUUGUUCCACGCAGGACGUUGACACAUUCCAGCUUCAGAGGGUGUGUGCCACAUUUCCCAAACCGUCACACGCAUAUUGCAACUUCCCGCCGUCGUUAUUAUCGUCACCGACAAUGUCAAGUGGCACACCCCAGGGAGCGGGGGACACUGUGCCGGUGCCUGAAGCAGGAGUAGCUGGCCCUGGAGGUGUGCAAGGACCCGUCCUCGCAUCCGCCGCCCAAGCCCCAAACCCCUUGCUCGACAACAAUGGCGCGGAGGCGGGUCAUGGUGGGGCGAGAAGGAGGCGCUGGGGCUGGGUCUGGGGCUGGACCUGCGGAGUCUGCAGGCGCCGGGUAGCCGAGGUGCGAGGAGACGAAGGACUGGAGUAG
Molecule: ribosomal RNA, 1035 nt
Filed under: Triticum aestivum (bread wheat)
Lineage: Eukaryota; Viridiplantae; Streptophyta; Magnoliopsida; Poales; Poaceae
Description: partial small subunit ribosomal RNA
Source: RNAcentral